This 549-nucleotide ribosomal RNA is filed under the name uncultured bacterium. RNAcentral describes it as "bacterial SSU rRNA". It matches the Rfam family "Bacterial small subunit ribosomal RNA", at positions 356 to 896 of the family's 1533-position model. The record is from RNAcentral.
GGGGAAUAUUGGACAAUGGGGGGAACCCUGAUCCAGCCAUGCCGCGUGUGUGAAGAAGGCCUUUUGGUUGUAAAGCACUUUAAGCGAGGAGGAGGCUACCGAGAUUAAUACUCUUGGAUAGUGGACGUUACUCGCAGAAUAAGCACCGGCUAACUCUGUGCCAGCAGCCGCGGUAAUACAGAGGGUGCAAGCGUUAAUCGGAUUUACUGGGCGUAAAGCGCGCGUAGGUGGCCAAUUAAGUCAAAUGUGAAAUCCCCGAGCUUAACUUGGGAAUUGCAUUCGAUACUGGUUGGCUAGAGUAUGGGAGAGGAUGGUAGAAUUCCAGGUGUAGCGGUGAAGUGCGUAGAGAUCUGGAGGAAUACCGAUGGCGAAGGCAGCCAUCUGGCCUAAUACUGACACUGAGGUGCGAAAGCAUGGGGAGCAAACAGGAUUAGAUACCCUGGUAGUCCAUGCCGUAAACGAUGUCUACUAGCCGUUGGGGCCUUUGAGGCUUUAGUGGCGCAGCUAACGCGAUAAGUAGACCGCCUGGGGAGUACGGUCGCAAGACUA